AUCACUGUUGUCGUUCUGUUUCUCCUCUCUUUGAUGAGCUGAGUGAAGACACCUGGUGGACGACUGACCAGGAGAUUCAACCUUUUACCAAAAAUUUACAAAGAUCUAAACAAACUUAAAUAUCUUAUUUAUUUAUUUAAAGCAUUAACAUUUUCCUUUGCAGCCACAAAAAGGGGAUAAAAGAGCCGCAUGAGGCUCCGGAGCUUCAGGUUGCAGACCGCUGGUCUGGUCCUACGAUCUCCUGGACGUCAUAGACCUGCAGGUAAUUAUUUAGAAAAACUGUGAGAUCCGAAGGAGGAAGAAGGGUCGGGACUACAACAAAGAUGAGCUAGAGGAGGUGCGGCGGCGGGAGACGAUGAAAGAAGCCAAACGGCUGAAGGAGUUCCUGGAGGAUUACUACGACAAGAGGGAUGACCUGAAGUACUACAAGUUUUACCCAAACUGAAACGUUUCGUACACCCCGGAGGGACGGAGGUUUACCUCUGAAGAUCUGAACGAGGCCCACCACGAUGAUGAGCGCCAGAGCCAGAAGCUUCCCAACGGUGAAAAUGUCCUGGAUCCUCGUCGCCCAGCGCACACUGGAGCAGUUCACCCAGUUCAUCAUCGUUCCACUGGGGGCACUAGAAGGGGCUUUUCCGGCCUAAUUCUAAAUGGCUGCUUCAAUGAAACCUCAAAAAAACCCUUUUGGCGGGAAACGUUUUCAAAACUUUAUGGAUCGAUUCAGAAACAACCGCAGCUCUGAAUCCAAACAUCCCCGACAGAGACCCAGAAGGCUUUGCACUCACAGACACAGAUGGCGGCGAGCAGCUUGAUGGCGAUGAAUGGAGGCACACAGUUCUGGAAGGCCGGCUGUAGGACGUAAUUGGAGAAGGUGAGGGCGAUGACGGCCAGCGUUGUUGGAUACAUGAUGAGGACAGCACUCCAUAACAACAGGAAGCUAAAGGACCAGGAGAAAAACAGAGACGUAUCUGUUCCAGUCACAACGUUCUCUGUGUAGAACGUUUGUUUUAGGAAGGCUAUUUUUUAAUAAACAUUUUGUCUCUAAACUCUUUGACUUGUGAACUUCUAACAAAAGUUCUGCAAAGAAUUACAUUGAAGCAGUUGUGGUUGAGCGUUUGAUCAAGGACAUCAGCUCUAAGAAGCAGAGGCUCCAACUAUGAGAACAUAAUUCUGCAAUAGUGUUUUGAUGUUUUUGAUAACCAACCAACAAAGAAAACUAGAUUAUAGUAUCCUUGUAAAAAAAAAAAAA
Long non-coding RNA from Oryzias melastigma (Indian medaka), 1249 nucleotides. RefSeq lists it as uncharacterized. The record is from RefSeq and is a predicted model, not a curated record. The transcript is spliced from 5 exons. Lineage: Eukaryota; Metazoa; Chordata; Actinopteri; Beloniformes; Adrianichthyidae.